This 864-nucleotide ribosomal RNA is filed under the name Yersinia intermedia ATCC 29909. Its description in RNAcentral is "partial 23S ribosomal RNA". The record is from RNAcentral. Lineage: Bacteria; Pseudomonadati; Pseudomonadota; Gammaproteobacteria; Enterobacterales; Yersiniaceae.
UACGCCAGAAGAAAUCGCCGCAUUGGAGCAGCAAGCUUAUAUCGGCAUGAUGAAUCAAUGUAUGGCGGAAGAAGGCAGUGACGGUCUGAAACGCUGGUGGAAAGAUCAAAGCCGUAAAGUCCGCAAUGAGAUCCCACUGCAAGUUGCACUGGCAGAACAUCUAAUUGAGUGUGACGAUCAUGAUGUCGCCCAGCAAAUCAUUCUGGACGGUCUGAAGCGUCAGUAUGAUGAACGUUUAGUCCUCCUGAUCCCACGCUUAAAAUCAGGUAACCCAGAACCGCUGGAGAAAGCAUUGCGCCAGCACAUCAAGCAACAUGGUGCGACCCCGCUACUUAAUAGCACCCUGGGGCAACUCAUGCUGAAACACGGCGAAUGGGAGAAAGCCUAUGAAGCCUUUAAAGCAGCGCUUGAGCAGCGCCCAGACGGCUAUGAUUAUGCAUGGUUAGCUGAUGCGCUAGAUAAACUGCAUCGCCCUGAAGAUGCAGCGCAGGCGCGUCGUGAGGGGCUACUGUUGACCUUGCGGCAGAAUGGCGAAUCACUUUGAUGGUAUGCAAGUCAAUCUGUGAGCCAAGGGGCGACCGUACCUAGGGGCACUCCGGCGACUUACGUCGCUACGAUCCCAACGGCACGUUUCCCCUUGGUUCAGCUUCAUUAGUCAUCUAAAGGCUCCUACGGGGCCUUUUUUUUGCUUCUGAUUCGGGGACAAAUCUGUCGGGAGCAGAGUUGAACGCUGCUUGCAGCGGCCUCAACGAGGCGAGGCCCACGGAUGGGCCGAGUAACUAGUGCAGCUAACAACCCUGCGGCUUCAAGUAGCAAAGAAUACCCAAAGUAAUUGGAGUUGCAGGUAGGCAGCCAGCAAACGCA